UUAUUAAACAUUAAUUUUAAGUAGCAGAAUUAUUCCUGUUGAAUUAUUUCUGUUCUCUGACUUACUUUUCUUUCUACUAACAUUUCAUUACCAAGGUAGGUAACAUCAUCAGGGCAUACUGAAAUGCAGUUUACUGGUUGUUUCGAUGAGUAGUUUGUCUAUAGCUAAUGAUGCUGCCUAUUCUGUCAUGACAUGUUUACUGAAGAGAAGCAAGUUCAGAGACAAUCAGGGAUCCAAUGAGCAACAAGAUUAUCCUCUAUGACAGGGGCAGGGAAUGAUGGCUCUUCUAUGACUUGUGGACUUCAAUUCCCAGAAUUCCUGAGCCAACCAUGCUUAAAGUCAUAAAGGGGUCAUCAUUCCUGACCUCUGUUCUAUGAGAAUGAUCCCUGUUGUUGGGACACAAGUGAUGCCUUUAUCUGUUAUAGGUUCUCAGGCAUUCUUUGUGUGACAUCUUCCUCAGGAUCUCCCCUAGCAUUGCCACAUAAACCCCAUUUCUUAGCAUCUGCUAUUUUGUACAUACUGGCUAAAGGGAUGAAAGAAGAUGCUUUAUCAAACCUGGUUUUCAAUAAUGCACUUUUUCCUGUUUGAGGAGCCCCAUGAACAUGUCUGCACUGAUGUUCCCGCAACACAAAACAAAAGCAGAAGACAGAGUGAUGAGAGAAGAGAAAAAAAGAGAGAAAUAUUAGUUGACAUGAAAAGCCAACCAAACAAAACUCUAUGAAGAAAUGGAGAUUUCACAUAGCAAUUAAAGUUUUUCAAGUUUUUUUCAGGCAAGAGCAGACCAUAGAACAGUGUUGGAGAAUCUUUUCGGUACCGAGUGGCAAAACGGGAGCACACGCGCACAGGGGAGCACUGGAAACUAGAAGAGAAGCUCCCCGGCGCGAAUGCGAGGGAGCGCCGGAAACCGGAAGAAAACCCCCAGCCUUUUCAGCCAUUUUUCAGCAAAAAAUGCCCACAGGAAUGUAUUGACUCACUUAGUGACUGCCAUAGUUGCUUUACAACUACUGCAAAAAAUAUCAUAAAAUUGGAUCAGUCACAUGGAUGCCUCAACUUAUGACCGUCAUCUUUUAUGAAGAGAAUUCUGGACCUCAUUACAAUCAUAAGGUUUAAGCUUUCACUGAUCAACUCAUGAGUAGGUGUUUGUACUCUUAGAAGAGGCUUGUUAUCAUGUACCUGACUAU
Molecule: long non-coding RNA, 1181 nt
Organism: Pantherophis guttatus
Lineage: Eukaryota; Metazoa; Chordata; Lepidosauria; Squamata; Colubridae
Source: RefSeq, a predicted model, not a curated record